GUGGCUGACAUUUUGCUCCAUUUACUUUUAAUGUAGAGAAGAAUUGUUGGUCUACAUCAGAUUACAUCUAUUGGAUCCAUGGAUAUAACAGAUAUGUGGGAGCCUCUGGAGGAAGGACUCCUUCCUUUGGAGACCACCAAGCACGUGUCAAUGAUCACUAUAACCCUUUCGAAAAAAGAAUUGAAUACAUCCUCUGUCGGGUACCAGCCUCCAUUACCAGCUGAUCAGGUGAAGGCAUCCACAGAAAUCGAUCACGAAUGAGGUAGGGAUACAU
This is a long non-coding RNA of Hibiscus syriacus, 274 nucleotides long. RefSeq lists it as uncharacterized. The record is from RefSeq and is a predicted model, not a curated record. Lineage: Eukaryota; Viridiplantae; Streptophyta; Magnoliopsida; Malvales; Malvaceae. The transcript has 3 exons.